GCUUCUCCCCUCUGUUCCAGCGCUGAGACGCAGGCCUUUCCUGGCGCGAAGCGACUCGCCCCGGAGCUCCCCUGCACCGUCCUGGGUGUCAGGACGCGUCAACCCAGAUGACCCGACCCGGAGAUCCUGGAUCCUCUGCCCUCUUCCCCCUACCAAGUCCUUAACCGGAGAGGGAGGAGCUACCAAUGUCCUCCAGACGUUCUCCAAAGCCCGAGCUGCCGGGAGAAGCUUGCUCAAGGCGGGUGCGCCCCUCAGACGUUUGUUUGCACGCAGGGGUUUUGACGUUUCGCUAAGCAACAGCGUUUGCCAGGGAAUCAGGGCUGUUUCGAAGAGCUUGCGUCUAUUUGAUGCUCCCAUCUUGAACAAAUCGUUUCCAUUCGAUUUGUUUAACCAAGGCGAGGGCGGACUAUGUUGUUACUUAAAAGUUAUUCUUCAUCCAAGCUGUCCUCAGAUUUUCAUCUAAGGGUGUCAUAACACCCCAGGUCGUUGCGCAAAUGUUUUGUGACAAUUUAGAAAACCAGAGGGGGGAAAUAUCCUUAGAGAAAAAAUCAUAACCAACAAGAAAAUUAUGUUAAAUGAUGUUGGUCCUUUUUCAUCGGAUGGUCCCAGUUGACACAUAGUCUUUUACAAAACCAGUGACUAUUCACAGUCUUCAAUUUAUGGCACAUCUCCCGGUGGGGGCGAAGUGCAUGAAUGGGUCCCACCUUAUUCACCAGCUGAAACUCUGAACAAGCCUUGGGGUUUCCUCUCCCAAAGACUGCCAGGCUUCACUAAGAAUCAAAACAAAACAGGAUACUAAAUGCCUGCGGUAAGUUUUCAAAUAUGAGCUCUUCCAUUGCUUAUUUCUGUGAAUUGUGGCAAAUUGCAUAAUGUCUUUUGCCCCUGGUGCUGCUUAGAGACAGGGUCUCACUGUGUUGCGCAGGCUAAAGUACAAUGGCACGAUCCUAGCUCGUUGCAGCCUCAAACCCCUGGGCUCAGACUAUCCUCUGGCCUCAGCCUCCCAACCAGCAAGGGUUACAGUCGCAUGCCACCACACCUGGUUAAUUUUUUAUUUUUGUUUUUUAGAGAUAGGGGACUCACUAUGUUGCCCAGGCUCGCCUGAAAUUCCUAGCCUCAAGCAUUCCUCCCAGCUCAGCCUCCCAAAGUGUUGAGAUUACAGGCGUGAGCCACCAUGCCUGGCAAGCUUCAUCAUUUCUAAAAUGUAACUGUAUAUUUUAGAGUAGCAUAGGAGUGGUGUAAGGGUUAAGGAUUAAUGAUACUGCAAAUCAAGUGCUUAACACAAAGUUUAAUGCAUAGGAAGAACAUAAUUGUUAUUAUCAAUGUGAGUAGACUGUUUACCACCAAAAUGAAAGGUGUGGGCAAUGGUAACUGGGUAGCCUCCAGAGAUCCUUUUUUAAAAGGAGUAUGAGUUUUAAUACAUUCGUUGAAUGAAUAAAACCCACAACACUCUAGGCACAUCUCCAGUCCUUGCCCUGGCAGGGCUUUCAGUCUAACUAGAGGAAAUUGGAUGAAAUGAUAAUGAUGCAUACCUAGUCUUUCGUCAUACUGUGAAAGCCUUUUAAAACAUGGAUUUGACUUCUGGGUUUCCCAUUAUAACCACUUCCCAAAGAAGAUUGUUCGUUCUUUCAGAAAAUUUCACUAGGGUGAUGAUAAGGUAUUAACAGAUGUAUGUUGAAAACAUCCUCUUCCUUUUUCUGUGUAGCCCCUUCUUCCUUUGGAAUUUUAGAAGAAUCUGAUCAAGGC
Molecule: long non-coding RNA, 1743 nt
Filed under: Homo sapiens (human)
Lineage: Eukaryota; Metazoa; Chordata; Mammalia; Primates; Hominidae
Description: non-protein coding lnc-REEP3-12:2
Source: RNAcentral